UCAGUUCGGAACGUGGCUUUUAAAAAUGCGUUUUUAAAUAGUGUCUUGAAGAAGUGUAGGAGAGAUCUACACAGCUUAAGUGGGGCGUCCCCAUCCCAUCUUCCUGCGCACCCUCCUUUGCCCCCAACUCCAUCUCUGCGACACUUCCCCACCCCCACCCCCCCAAAAAAAGAAGUCACUCCCGGGCUCUGUCUGCAGAGAGCCAGGGUGAGAGCGGGCAAGGCAAAAGAGCGACCUCGGUCGUGGGCAAGUAGCUUGUUUUUACGUCCUUCAAUAAAAUUUUUAUGAGGAUAA
RNAcentral lists this non-coding RNA (294 nucleotides) under Pongo abelii (Sumatran orangutan). Lineage: Eukaryota; Metazoa; Chordata; Mammalia; Primates; Hominidae. The record is from RNAcentral.